UUAAUGUUUUUCAGGAUGGGUUUUUUUUGCAAUGUGUGUUAUUGCUGGUUGUGCUUGAGGCGUUUGAUCUGAAGAGUGCUUUUGGAAGUCUGAAUCCAGUCAAAGUCCAAGAAGCAUCAAUCAUAUCCAGCUUCCAGAGUACCUGUUUCUUAAGUGCUUGGGAACACUUUGCAGAAAGCUUCUCAGUUUCAGAGUCUUGACUACAGCGUAUUUGCAAAAGAGCCUCUUGGGCUUCAGGAGAAGCAGGCGUUUCAGGGACCAGUGAAGCCUUUGGAUUGGAGGUUUCCCGCUGUUCCAGAAGUGCUGAGCAAGAUGGCGGUGGACUUUCAUUUAAGGCAACUUGUGACCCCUAGAUGUGUAGCUAUUCAGUGUAGUGACAACCAGAUUAAUGUGGAGGUAUAGCAGGACUUGUUUAGCAAUGGAAAACUGAUCCAGCCAUCUGGUUUGACUUUAGGAGGAUGCCCUGUUGUUGGUUUGGUCCCAGGCUCAAAGGUGCUUUUUGAGAAUAAACUGCAGGUCUGCGACCGUGUUGAUGAUGACCAAGGAUGAGCUUGUCUACACCUUUGCCCUUACCUACACCCCUGAGCUGUUUGCUGGCACUCGAUUAUCAGCGUUCAAUGCUAUUAUCAAAGGUCAGCGACCUCUGUGACUUGUGGCAUUCCUUGCGGUGGUGGAACUGGAAGCCCGUUUAAUUGGUUACUACACAAAUGGCAGGUUUCAAAACGUCAGCAGUAAUGCCUUGAAGCCUUGGGUCCCUUAUGCCUCAACUGUUCUGCCUGAAGCUCAUGAUGGGUUUGUGCAGUUUCUCUCAGCCUUCUGGAUGAGGCUGUGCCUAAGCUGUUCUUCUCUUGCAGAUGACUGGUCCUAUGAGGGGCCUUCAGACUCUUACUUCCUGGGUGAUGUUAUUAAUGUUGAGGCAUCUGUGAAGGUAUAAAACCACGUCCCUCUGUGUGUGGUUGUGGACUGCUGUGUGGCCACCCAAGUACCUGAUGUGACUGCCCUUCCAAGAUGCUUGUUCAUUGAUAAUCAUGGGUGUGUUCAUGUCACCAGAUGCUGCAGAGGUGGCUUGCUGCUGAUGGGAACCACCAGUUUGUGGUUUCUGUGACUCAACAGGUGUUCCUGAUGGUGGAACUGCUGCUGCUUUUUUGGAGGCCUUCAGUGGGAAGGGAAGGCCUCGCUCGGUCCUGUAGUGGUUCAAGAGCACAAAAAGACUUUAGCUGGUGUUCAAUAAAUGUGGGGAGAGAACUUG
Molecule: long non-coding RNA, 1249 nt
Organism: Carassius auratus (goldfish)
Lineage: Eukaryota; Metazoa; Chordata; Actinopteri; Cypriniformes; Cyprinidae
Exons: 4
Source: RefSeq, a predicted model, not a curated record